RNAcentral lists this ribosomal RNA (253 nucleotides) under uncultured bacterium. RNAcentral describes it as "partial 16S ribosomal RNA". It matches the Rfam family "Bacterial small subunit ribosomal RNA", at positions 524 to 776 of the family's 1533-position model. The record is from RNAcentral.
UACGGGGGGAGCAAGCGUUGUCCGGAUUUACUGGGCGUAAAGAGCGCGCAGGCGGUCGAUCAAGUCGAGUGUGAAAGCCCCCGGCUCAACUGGGGAGGGUCAUUCGAUACUGAUCGACUCGAAGGCAGGAGAGGGUAGUGGAAUUCCCGGUGUAGUGGUGAAAUGCGUAGAUAUCGGGAGGAACACCAGUGGCGAAGGCGACUACCUGGCCUGUUCUUGACGCUGAGGCGCGAAAGCUAGGGGAGCAAACGGG